Molecule: ribosomal RNA, 468 nt
Filed under: uncultured bacterium
Lineage: Bacteria
Description: partial 16S ribosomal RNA
Rfam family: Bacterial small subunit ribosomal RNA
Source: RNAcentral
GACGAACGUUGGCGGCGUGCUUAACACAUGCAAGUCGAACGGAAAGGCCCUGCUUUUGUGGGGUGCUCGAGUGGCAAACGGGUGAGUAACACGUGAGUAACCUGCCCUUGACUUUGGGAUAACUUCAGGAAACUGGGGCUAAUACCGGAUAGGAGCUCCUGCUGCAUGGUGGGGGUUGGAAAGUUUCGGCGGUUGGGGAUGGACUCGCGGCUUAUCAGCUUGUUGGUGGGGUAGUGGCUUACCAAGGCUUUGACGGGUAGCCGGCCUGAGAGGGUGACCGGCCACAUUGGGACUGAGAUACGGCCCAGACUCCUACGGGAGGCAGCAGUGGGGAAUAUUGCACAAUGGGCGGAAGCCUGAUGCAGCAACGCCGCGUGCGGGAUGACGGCCUUCGGGUUGUAAACCGCUUUCGCCUGUGACGAAGCGUGAGUGACGGUAAUGGGUAAAGAAGCACCGGCUAACUACGUG